GCACAAGUGGCUAAACAUUUGGUUUCUAACCAAAAGGUCGGCAGUUUGAAUCUGCCCUCUGCU
This 63-nucleotide transfer RNA is filed under the name Loxodonta africana (African savanna elephant). It matches the Rfam family "tRNA". Rfam says of the family: Transfer RNA (tRNA) molecules are approximately 80 nucleotides in length. Their secondary structure includes four short double-helical elements and three loops (D, anti-codon, and T loops). Lineage: Eukaryota; Metazoa; Chordata; Mammalia; Proboscidea; Elephantidae. The record is from Rfam by way of RNAcentral.